UACGAAGGGGGCUAGCGUUGUUCGGAUUUACUGGGCGUAAAGCGCGUGUAGGCUGGUCUUUAAGUUGGGGGUGAAAUCCCGAGGCUCAACCUCGGAACUGCCCUCAAAACUGGCGACCUGGACUCAAGCAGAGGCAAGUGGAAUUGCGAGUGUAGAGGUGAAAUUCGUAGAUAUUCGCAGGAACACCAGUGGCGAAGGCGACUUGCUGGGCUUGUAGUGACGCUGAGACGCGAAAUCGUGGGGAGCAAACAGG
This 253-nucleotide ribosomal RNA is filed under the name uncultured bacterium. Its description in RNAcentral is "partial 16S ribosomal RNA". It matches the Rfam family "Bacterial small subunit ribosomal RNA", at positions 524 to 776 of the family's 1533-position model. The record is from RNAcentral.